GAUCAUGGCUCGGGACGAACGCUGGCGGCGUGCCUAACACAUGCAAGUCGAGCGGAGACAGUGAGUAGCUUGCUAUGAGCUGUUUUAGCGGCGGACGGGUGAGUAACGCGUGAGCAACCUUUCCCAGACAGGGGAAUAACACACCGAAAGGUGUACUAAUACCGCAUAAGACCACGGAAUCACAUGGUUCUGGGGUAAAAGAAUUAUCGGUUUGGGGUGGGCUCGCGUCCGAUUAGGUAGUUGGUGAGGUAACGG
This 255-nucleotide ribosomal RNA is filed under the name uncultured bacterium. Its description in RNAcentral is "partial 16S ribosomal RNA". It matches the Rfam family "Bacterial small subunit ribosomal RNA", at positions 15 to 263 of the family's 1533-position model. The record is from RNAcentral.